CUAACAUGUAUGCGAGCCUCAAAACCGUCGCGAAGCGUGAACUCUUGGUGAAAUGGAGCACUUUCGUGUCCGCUGGUUAACAUCAAUUUCGAUCGUCAUAAAAAGGCUGGAGGGAUGUGGUUCCUUCGGGAGUGUUAUAACCUUUAGCGG
RNAcentral lists this ribosomal RNA (150 nucleotides) under Entrophospora lutea. RNAcentral describes it as "Claroideoglomus luteum ribosomal RNA". Lineage: Eukaryota; Fungi; Glomeromycota; Glomeromycetes; Entrophosporales; Entrophosporaceae. The record is from RNAcentral.